Molecule: long non-coding RNA, 3343 nt
Filed under: Olea europaea subsp. europaea
Lineage: Eukaryota; Viridiplantae; Streptophyta; Magnoliopsida; Lamiales; Oleaceae
Source: RNAcentral
UCAACUACUAAGUUUGAGCUCGAGGUUUUUAAUGGAAAAUGGGACUUCUCCAUUUGACAACAAAAAAUGAAAGUGGUCCUUAUUCAACAGAAAGUUGCAAAAGCUAUAACUGUCGAAUUUUCGGAUACUAUGACUGAAGAACAAAAAACAGAAUCUGAUGAACUUGCCUAUACCUCUAUCAUAUUGCAUUUGUCUGAUCAAGUGUUAAGAAAACUUGGAAAACUUGAUAAUGCCAAGGCUUUGUGGGAUAAACUUGAAGAACUGUAUUUAUCAAAGUCUUUGCCAAACAAAAUAUUUCUUUUGGAAAGAUUCUCCAGUUUUAAAAUAGACCCUUCUGAAGAUUUAGAAGAUAAUCUUGAUGUCUUUAAUAAAUUGGUUCAAGCUAUAACUAAUUCUGAUGAUAAGGUUUCAGAGGAAUACAAAGCUGUCAUUCUUCUAAAUUCAUUACCUGAAGCCUAUAAAGAUGUUAAAACUGCUAUUAAGUAUGGCAGGGAUGAAUUGACUCUUGAAGUUGUUGUUGAUUCAUUAAGAAGUAAAGAAUUAGAACUUAAAUCUGAAAGGCAUGGAAGGGAAUCUAAGAAUCUGUUUGCUAGAGGUAGAUCACUGACCAGGCAAGCUAGUAGUCAUGAAAAUCAAAAUCAUCAAGGAAAUAACAAUAACAAUAAGAGAUGGAAAGGAAGACCUAGGUCAAAGUCUAGGACUGGAAAUAGAAAGUGUUAUGGAUGUGGUAAAACUGAUCAUUUUAUUAAAGAUUGUUACAAAAAAAAAGAAUGAACAGAGAGAGAAAAAGGUAGAUGAGGGAAAUGUAGUUGAGCCCCUAGGAGAUAAAACUAUGGAUGUCUAUGUUGUUAUAGAACCUAUUACUAACCUUAAUACUGUGAAUUUUUCUGAAAAUAAUGACCAGGGUCAAGAGUGGAUCCUUGACUCUAGCUGCACCUUCCAUAUGACUUCUAAAAGAACUUGGUUAGAAAAUUUUAAAGAAAUAAAUGGUGGUGAGGUAGUAAUGGGUAACAGUGCUGCAUGUAAAGUUGAAGGAAUUGGCAGUGUGACUUUGAAAUUUGAUAAUGGAUAUAUCUUUACCCUAGAAAGAGUAAGAUAUGUUCCUGAUUUAAAUAGAAAUUUAAUUCCAAUGCGAAAUCUAGAUGACAUUGGCCUAAAAGAUAAAUUUGGUGAUGGAUUGUUAAAAGUAAUUAAAGGUUCACUUGUAAUAUUUAAGGGUGCCAAAAGGAAUGGUAUAUAUGUCACUAGAGUUGAAGUUAUUUCAAGUCACAUUGCUGAGUCCUCUACAGCUGAGGUUGAUGCCACUUUAAAAUGGCACAACAAGUUAGCUUAUAUGAGUGAAAGAGGUCUGUACAUCUUGAAUUAAAAAGGUGUUCUUGGAAAAGAUAAUAUUUCAAAAAUCCCAUUCUGUGAGCAUUGUACUCUAGGUAAACAACAUAGACUUCACUUUAAUACUAGAAAGCAUGAGACUACUUCAAUUUUGGAAUAUGUAUAUGCUGAUUUGUGGGGACCCUCGUCUACCAUCACUCAAGGUGGAAACAAAUAUUUUGUAUCUCUGAUUGAUGAUUUUUCAAGAAAGGUUUGGAUUUUUCUGUUAAAACAAAAGUGAUACUUUUGAAAAAUUUAAAAUUGGAAAAUCUUAAUUGAAAAUCAGACUGGGAAGAAAAUGAAGAUUUUAAGAACUGAUAACGGUCUAGAAUUUUGUAACACUAAUUUUGAUUAAUUAUGCAAUAAUAGUGGGGUCAUUAGACAUAAAACUGUUCCCUAUACUCCUCAACAAAAUGGAGCUGCUGAGAGAAUGAAUAGGACAAUUCUAGACAAGGUUAGAUGCAUGAUGAUCAGUUCUAGUGUUCCUAAAUUUUUGUGGGGGUAAAGCUGCUAUGACAGCUGUAUAUAUCAUAAAUAGAACCUCUUCUAGUACCUCAGAUGGUAAAACCCCUGAGGAAGUGUGGUAUAGAAAAAUUUCAGAUUAUGCCCACCUUAGAACCUUUAGUUAUGCUGCAUUUUCCCAUCAGAGUGUUGGGAAACUUGAACCUAGAUACAUAAAAUGUGUUUUUAUGGGGUAUCCUGAGGGUGUGAAAGGCUAUAGGUUGUGGGAUAGAAGUGUAAAGGGGUUUAGAAUGAUCACUAGUAGGAAUGUGACUUUUAAUGAGUGUGAUAUGCCUUGCAUGACUGAGAAACCUCAAGAAAUUGAACCUGUGAAAGAUAAAGAUGAGGAGAUUAGGCUGCAGGUGGAGUUUAGAACACCUGCUGAACAUACUGACGAAAUUCAGAUUAAUAAUGAGGCUGUCCCAGAAGUUGAAAUAAAAGAAAUUCGCCUGUUCAAGAAAUAGGUGAAGAAGAAAAUCCCUUAGACGAUUAUCAAUUAGCCUGGAAUAGAGUUAGAAGAGAAAUAAGGGAACCUCUUAGUAUGAGAGACUACCUAUCUCUUGUUUUAUUGUCUUUUCAAGAUUUAGCUUUUAAGGAACCUAAAUCAUAUGAAGAGACUAUGAGUUGUAAGCUGUCUAAAGAAUGCAAUUAGCUAUGGAAGAGGAAAUGAACUCCUUGUUAGAAAAUGAUACUUGGUCUUUGAUUCCAAAGCCUAAAAAUAAAUCCAUAUAAAUCCAUUAUAGACUGUAAGUGGAUUUAUAACAUAAAAGAGGGGGAAAAACUUGAAAUAGCCUACUAGGUUUAAAGCCAGAUUAGUUGCUAAGGGCUUUACACAAAAGCCUGGGAUUGAUUAUAAUGAGAUCUUCUCACUUGUGGUUAAGUAUACAACCAUUAGAGUCAUGCUUGCAUUAGUAGCUCAUUUUGACUUAGAACUUGAACAAAUGGAUGUACAAACUGCUUUUUUGCAUGGAGAUUUGGAUGAAACCAUUUAUAUGUGUCAGCCACUAGGUUUAUUGAUCCUAAAAAAUCUGAUUUUGUGUGCUUGUUAAAAAGAUCUUUGUAUGGGCUUAAACAAUCACCAAGACAAUGGUAUAAACGAUUUGAUAACUUUGUGCCAUCAAUUGGUUUUCUUAGAAGCUCAUUUGAUCAUUGUUUGUACUUUAAAAAGGAUAAAAAUGAUUUUGUGACUGUUUACCUGCUUUUAUAUGUGGAUGAUAUGUUGUUAAUAGGCCAACAUAUGAUUGAUAUUAAUGACAUUAAAAGAUCUUUAUCCUCUGAAUUUGAAAUGAAAGACUUGGGUCAUGCUAGAAGAAUCUUAGGUAUGGAUAUUAAGAGAAAUAUGUCCCAACGGGCUCUAUUUCUCUCACAAUCUACCUAUGUGGAAAAAGUGUUAUCUAAAUUUACUAUGCAUGAAUCUAAGUCUAUUACUUUACCACUUGCAAGUCAUUUUAAAUUAAAUAAAAAUUAGUCCCCU